Molecule: ribosomal RNA, 4287 nt
Filed under: Triticum aestivum (bread wheat)
Lineage: Eukaryota; Viridiplantae; Streptophyta; Magnoliopsida; Poales; Poaceae
Description: partial small subunit ribosomal RNA
Source: RNAcentral
AUGGAAGAAACGUCGCUGGAGGCCGCGAUUGGGUGGCUGGUGCAGGCCAUCUAUGCCAGCCUCCUAGUUGGCGGCGAGCUCGAUGCUUGGAUUCGCCGGGCUGGGCUCGCGGAUGACAUCGAGAGGCUCAGAUCUGAGGUCGAGGGAGUCGAGAUGGUGGUCUCUGCUGUCAAGGGGAGGGCGAUCGGGAACAAGCCGCUGGCCCGAUCGCUCGCCCGCAUCAGGGAGCUGCUCUACGGCGCGGAUGAUCUGGUGGACGAGCUCGACUACUGGAGGCUCCAGCAGCAGCUGGAACUGGAAGGAGGCGCAAGGCACGACCUUGAUGAACCGAAUGCACAUGGAUCACUGCAAUUGGAAAGAUCGACUGAGAGUAGCAGUGUUGACAGAUUAGGGUCCGAGUCCUGGGGACACUUUGAUAUCGAGGAGUUCCAUGAAAAUGGAGGGCCUGGCGGAGCAAGAUGUAAACACUGUCGUGCCAUGGUUGUGUGCACAGCUGACAAGGGGACACCUGUUUUGCGCAAGCAUCUCAAGAGUAAAGGUUGUAAGAAGAAACGUGGAGCGAGUGAACCUUCAAGCACUGGUGAUGCUACUGCAAGUGCUACUUCUACUGCAACUGAUGGUAUUUCAUCCACCAGAAACAUGAGAGAGGCUGAGGUUGAGGAGCCAAAACACGGCACCAUAUCCGAGACAUACACUUGGGAUAAGGACAACUUUUCCAAUAGGAUAAAAGACAUAACUCAUCAGCUGCAAGGCAUCCGAGGAGAUGUGAGAGCGGCUCUGAUGAUACUUGGGUCAGACUCUAGCGCAAGUUCAAAUCACCAUGUAGAACAUCCACACCGUAGAACAUCAAGUCUUGUUCAGGGAAAAGUUUAUGGGAGGGAUCAUGAGAAGGCAGAAAUCAUACGGCUGGUAAAAAGACACAAAUUAUCUAGCAGUGUAACUGUUCUGACUGUUUUAGGCAUUGGUGGGGUUGGGAAGACAACCCUUGCUCAACUGGUAUACAACGAUCCAUCCGUGGAAAGUCAAUUUGACCAUAGGAUAUGGAUUUCAGUGUCCAACAAAUUUGAUGAAACGAGAAUCUCAAGAGAGAUGUUGGAUUUUGUGUCCCAAGGAACACAUGAAGGGCUGUACAGCUUUGCCAGGCUUCAGGAGGUCUUGAGAGGUUGUAUUAAAUCAAAGAGGGUUCUACUUGUUUUAGAUGAUGUCUGGGAUGACAUGAAUGAUUGCCAGUGGAACCAACUAUUAGCCCCUUUCAAUUCUGACAAUGCAAAAGGCAAUAUCAUACUUGUGACAACUAGAAAACCAUCUGUUGCAAAAAGGAGAGGUACGGUUGAACCAAUUAAGUUACCUGGUUUGAAAGAAGAUGAUUUUUGGAUAUUGUUUAAAGCGUGUGUGUUUGGUGAUGAGAACUAUGAAGUGAAAGGUAGUCUUAGGACUUUGGCAUGGCAGAUAAUAGAAAAGUUGAAAGGAAACCCGCUAGCUGCAGAAACUGCAGGGGCAUUAUUAAGACAGCAUCUUACCAGUGAACAUUGGAGUAACAUUCUGAAGAACGAAGAUUGGAAAUCCCUGCAUCUCACAAGAGGCAUUAUGCCUACUUUGAAGCUUUGUUAUGAUCAACUGCCCUACCAUUUACAACAAUGCUUCUCAUAUUGUGCUAUAUUCCCUUGCAAUUAUCGGUUUCUCGCUGAGGAGAUAGUUCGUAUUUGGAUUUCACAGGGAUUUGUGAAGUGUAGUCAUUCAGGUAUGAGAUUGGAUGAGAUAGGACGGCUCUAUCUGACUAAUUUAGUGAACCUGGGCUUCUUUCAGCAGAUUGAAGAAGGCUACUCUUCAAACAAUCAAACUACUUAUGUUAUGUGUGCUCUUAUGCAUGAUUUCGCAAGGGUAAUUUCAAGAGCUGAGUGUGCAACUUUGGAUGCUCUACAGUGCAAUGAAAUUUCAUCAACUGUGCUACAUUUGUCAAUAGUAACUGGUCGUGUGUAUUGGUAUGAUGAGAAGUUUCAAGAGAUAUUGCGAAAUACAUUGAAAAAAGUAAAAAAUUUGAGAUCAUUGGUCUUAAUUGGACAGUACGACUCCCAAUUGUUCCAACAAGUAUUUGAGAAGGCACACAAUUUGCGUCUGUUACAAGUAUCUGCAACUGCUGGGUCUCAUUCCUUCCUAUGCGGUUUGGUAAAUCCUACACAUCUUCGGUAUCUAAACCUACAGGAUGCUCAUGUUUGGCCGGAAGAUUUACCUCAAGUUUUGAGCAAGUUUCUCCACCUUCAAGUAUUAGAAGUUGGCUUAUGCCAUGAUACUUCGUUUACCCUUGAGCGGAUGGUUAAUCUAGAGGAUUGUGGUGAAAGGCUUAUAUUUCCAUCUCUGGAAAGACUUCCGUUUCUUACGACGUUCAAGUUGAGCAACCUGCGGAAAAUUAGAGAAGUAUCAGUUCCAUCAUUGCAGGAGCUGAUUUUAGUUGAAAUGCCAGAGUUGGAGAGAUGUACCUGCACUUCCCUAGGGGAUUUGAACUCUAGUUUAAGGGUACUGGAGAUUCGGAGCUGCCCUGCACUCAAGGUGUUCGAUCUGUUUGAGAAAGGUCAUAACUUUGCUGAGCAGCCGUCAUUGUUUGAAGGUCAUAACUACGGAACUGGGUGGAAGCUAUGGUUGCCCGGUCUUAGAGUACUCACAGUAAUCAAUUGUCCUCAUUUACUGAUGCCGUGUCUCCUACCACAUUCAACUAAUGUUUCUAGACUGCACAUCGACGGAGUUCCAACACUUCUGAAGAUGGAGGGAUCGUCCACAGAAAAACUAGAAAUUUCUCCAAAUAGUCGAUCUGGUGAGAAUUCCGGUGAGACAUUGAGAUUGGAUGGAAAAAUAUUGUCAUUCCAUAAUUGGGGGGACCUAAAAUCCUUGAGCAUAUCAUUUUGUGGAAACCUAACAUCUAUUUCAUUUCGAAGUCUUAAUCAGCUCUUCUCUUUAAGGGAUCUCCGUAUAGUAGGGUGCAGAAAACUUUUCUCUUCAGAUGUUCGGCCAGAGCUUACUGAUGAAUAUGCGAUAGGUGCAUAUCGGUUUGGCCUCCGGUGUCUCAGAAGUCUCUAUAUUAGUUCAUCAGGAAUAACAGGGAAGUGGUUAUCUUUGAUGUUGCAACAUGCGCAGAUCCUGAAGGAAUUGUGCUUAAAUGACUGCCCUCAGUUUACACAGUUACAGAUCGAAGAGGAAGAGAACAGUCAACCAAAUUUUAUCUCAGCCCCAGAGACUUCAUCAAGCUGGGGUCCAGAUGGACUUUUGUGCAUUCCAUUAAAUCUCACCUCCUCUCUAGAAAAGAUAGCUAUUUCUCGAAGCCCUUAUUUGAGAUUUUACGGGAACAAGGAAGACUUUGCUGGAUUUACCUCCCUGCAGGAGCUAAUAAUUCGAUGCUGUCCUGGGCUGCUCUCAUCCUUGGUGCAUAAUGACGGAAAUGAUGUCCAGGCAAACAGAAUAUGGCUUCUUCCGCAGCCACUUGGACAAGUUGUGAUCAGUCAUUAUGACCACAAAACACUAUCACUCUGCUUCAUGGGUAAUCUCACUUGUCUCAAAAAAUUGGAAGUAUUGGAAAGCCCAGGCUUGGAAUCUCUACAGCUGCAUUCCUGCACAUUGCUUGAAGAUUUGAGAAUUCGUGAAUGCAAACAGCUUGCCACAGUAAAGGGAAUGCAAUCCCUUGUGAACCUCAUGAAUUUGGAAGUACAAGAAAACCCUAGUUUGGUAUCUCUACAGUUGCAUUCCUGCAGGUCGCUGGAAGAUCUGAGAAUUGAAAAAUGUGAAUCACUCAUCGCACUAGAGGGCUUGCAAUCCCUUGUGAACCUCAGGAAUUUGGCCCUACUCAACUCCCCUGGCUUGCCUCCAUAUUUCGAACGUUUGUCGGGGCACUAUGAGCUGGGCCCUCGACUCGAAAGUCUUCACAUUGAUGACUUGUCUCUCCUUACCAUGUCACUGUGCAAUGGCCUCACUUGCCUCCAAUGCCUACGACUUGAGAAGCUGGAACAGGGAGGGACAAGACUAACAGAUGAGCAAGAGAGAGCGCUACUGCUCCUCAGGUCCCUGCAAAACCUUGAAUUUCUUGAUUGUUUCAACCUCGUACAUCUUCCUGUGAGACUGCACAGCCUUCCUUCCCUCAAGGCAUUGAGUAUCGUUUGUUGUGAUGACAUCCCAAGGCUGCCUAAGAAGGGCCUCCCAUCUUCGCUGGAAAGGCUAGUGAUAUACGAUUGCAGUACUGAGCUAAAAGAACAGUGUGAAUCGCUAACAAGAGGCAAGCUAAGGGUUGUGAUGAAUGACUGA